UCAUUCUCCUGUUCAGUUCAACGUGUUACUCCUACACGCACACACGCACACACGCACACGCACACUACACGUACACACACGCACAUCAUUGAUUGUAGCCGUACACAUAACAACUCCUGAGUGAAGUACGUACGUGCGUGACACGAAUACGUACACACACACACACACACACACACACACACACACACACACACACACACCACACACACACACACACAUAUACAUACAUACAUACAUACACACGCACAUUAUAUUAUAAUUGAUUCUUCCAGUGUACAUUCAACUUUCAUAUCGUGUGCACGUGUGGCAGCUUCUUACGUGCACACACACACACACACACACACACACACACACACACACUGAAGGACCCUCCUCCCUGGGUAUCCUAAAGAAGAGGAAAAGGGCGUAGGAUUCCUGAAGGUGUGGUGACAGCGUCGCCACCCCUGCCAACAAGGUGGGGGUCGCCGCGCCCCGCUCAGGUCUCCGGCGAGUGUCCUGCGGGCCGCCGUCGCCGCCCAUGGCCCGACGUGGCGCCACGCUGGGGACGGGAGCGCGGGAGGGACGCCGCGCCCACCCGCACUGCCACACGCCACCUGGUUGUGCCGGGCUGGGGUGGGGCUGGGCGGGACCCAGGGGCGUGUUGGGUGGCGAGACGGUGACGGGCCAGGGCAGGGCAGAGCGGGACAGGGCGGAUGGGGCGGGGCACAGGUGGGAAGUGGAGAGGCAUGGGCGAGGGGCGGGGGCGGCAGGGCAGCAGGGCGGAGGGGCGGGAGCGUGGGAGUGAGUGUCCCUUUUUGGAGGACACUACCGGAAGCCCCACUUCCUUAUGAGCCAGCCCCGCGUCCCGCCCCGAGCAUCCCAUCCCGCCCCGCCCCGAGCCACGCACUCACGCCCACCCCAGCACAACCAGCCCAGCACGCCCAGCCCUCACGCCCACCACGAUGCCGGGCGGCGCGACACAGGUGGAGCGGUGCCCGGGACGCCCAUGAGCAAUAGCAUUAAAGCUGAACCAUUGCAAACUUAAAAUUCCAA
Long non-coding RNA from Scylla paramamosain (green mud crab), 1032 nucleotides. RefSeq lists it as uncharacterized. The record is from RefSeq and is a predicted model, not a curated record. The transcript is spliced from 2 exons. Lineage: Eukaryota; Metazoa; Arthropoda; Malacostraca; Decapoda; Portunidae.